UUCGGGGUACACGAGCGGCGAACGGGUGAGUAACACGUGGGUGAUCUGCCCUGCACUUCGGGAUAAGCCUGGGAAACUGGGUCUAAUACCGGAUAUGACCUUCGGNUGCAUGGCUGAGGGUGGAAAGNUUUANUGGUGCAGGAUGGGCCCGCGGCCUAUCAGCUUGUUGGUGGGGUAAUGGCCUACCAAGGCGACGACGGGUAGCCGACCUGAGAGGGUGACCGGCCACACUGGGACUGAGACACGGCCCAGACUCCUACGGGAGGCAGCAGUGGGGAAUAUUGCACAAUGGGCGAAAGCCUGAUGCAGCGACGCCGCGUGAGGGAUGACGGCCUUCGGGUUGUAAACCUCUUUCAGCAGGGACGAAGCGAAAGUGACGGUACCUGCAGAAGAAGCACCGGCUAACUACGUGCCAGCAGCCGCGGUAAUACGUAGGGUGCAAGCGUUGUCCGGAAUUACUGGGCGUAAAGAGUUCGUAGGCGGUUUGUCGCGUCGUUUGUGAAAACUCNNAGCUCAACUNCUAGCUUGCAGGCGAUACGGGCAGACUUGAGUACUGCAGGGGAGACUGGAAUUCCUGGUGUAGCGGUGAAAUGCGCAGAUAUCAGGAGGAACACCGGUGGCGAAGGCGGGUCUCUGGGCAGUAACUGACGCUGAGGAACGAAAGCGUGGGUAGCGAACAGGAUUAGAUACCCUGGUAGUCCACGCCGUAAACGGUGGGCGCUAGGUGUGGGUUCCUU
Molecule: ribosomal RNA, 737 nt
Filed under: uncultured bacterium
Lineage: Bacteria
Description: bacterial SSU rRNA
Rfam family: Bacterial small subunit ribosomal RNA
Source: RNAcentral